GCGAGCGCCUGCAGCGCCUGCGCGCGGCCGAUCUCGCCGCCGUUCGCCGUCACCGCGCUGUUGAGCGCCAUGUUCUGCGGCUUGAACGGCGCGACGCGCGCGCCCGUGCGGCGCGCGAGCCGGCACAGGCCCGCGACGAGCGUGCUCUUGCCCGCGUCGGACGUCGUGCCCUGGAUCAUCAGCGUGCCGCGCGGACGGGCGGCGUUGGCGUUGGCGUUGGCGUUGGCGUUGGCGUUGGCGUUGGCGUUGGCAAUCAUCGUGAACGAAUGGCGCGACGCGCGGCGCGCGGCAAAUGGCGAAGGCCGCAUUAUCGCGCGGCCCGUUACAAUCACGCGAUGAUUCCGCGCGACCUCACCUUCGUUCUCGGCGGCGCGCGCUCGGGCAAGAGCGCGCACGCCGAACGGCUCGCCGCCGCAGGCGGACGGCCCGUCACCUAUAUCGCCACCGCCCGCGUCGCGGACGACGAAUUCGCCGAGCGCAUCGCGCAUCAUCGCGCGCGCCGGCCGGCCGGCUGGGCGCUCGUCGAGGCGCCCGUCGAGCUCGCGCCCGCGCUCGCCCGGCUCGACGACGCGAACGCGUGCGUGCUCGUCGAUUGCCUCACGCUGUGGCUCACGAACCUGCUCUGCCCGGCCGACGGCCCGGGCGUCGACGACGCGCGCUGCGACGCUUACGUCGCCGAACUCGAAGCGGCGCUGCGCGCGAGCCGCGCGCGGGUGAUCGUCGUCAGCAACGAGAUCGGCUUCGGCGUCGUGCCGCUCGGCAGGCAGACGCGCCGCUUCGUCGAUACGCUCGGCCGCGUCAAUCAGCGCAUCGCGGCGCUCGCGACACGCGUGACGCUGUGCGUGGCCGGCCUGCCCGUCAUGGUCAAGGACGAGGGCGAACCGCGAUGCUGAUGCUGUCGCUGCCCGCCGUCGCCUGCCUCGCGGUCGCCGGCUGCGUCGUCGACAAGCUCGUCGGCGAGCCGCGCGCCGCGCAUCCGCUCGUCGCGUUCGGCCGGCUCGCCGCGCGCCUCGAACGCGCGCUCAACACCGGACGGCGCGGCCGGCUCGCGGGCCUCGCCGCGUGGCUCGCCGCCGUCGCGCCGCCCGUCGCGCUCGCCGCGUGGCUCGCCGCCGCGCUGCACGUCGCGCUGCACGUCGCGCUGCUGUGGUUCGCGCUCGGCGCGCGCAGCCUCGCCGAGCACGUCGCGCCGAUCGCCGCGGCGCUGCUGCGCCGCGAUCUCGCGGCCGCGCGCGCGCUGACCGCGCGCAUCGUGUCGCGCGACACGAGCGCCGCCAACGAGGCCGCGCUGUCGCGCGCGGCGGUCGAAUCGGCGCUCGAGAACGGCAACGACGCGAUCUUCGGUGCG
This 1348-nucleotide ribosomal RNA is filed under the name Burkholderia mallei JHU. Its description in RNAcentral is "16S ribosomal RNA". Lineage: Bacteria; Pseudomonadati; Pseudomonadota; Betaproteobacteria; Burkholderiales; Burkholderiaceae. The record is from RNAcentral.